This is an RNA transcript of Thamnophis elegans (Western terrestrial garter snake), 4897 nucleotides long. It is a transcript of the gene named arylsulfatase G, with no coding region annotated. NCBI's taxonomy places the organism in Eukaryota, Metazoa, Chordata, Lepidosauria, Squamata, Natricidae. The transcript has 13 exons. The record is from RefSeq and is a predicted model, not a curated record.
CGCAAAGCCUGGCUUGCACUCGCGGUGCAUCGGGGAACCUGGUGGCCAGCAGCGGCGGGGUGCAUGAGCGGCGCGGACGUAAUUUCGGGAAUGUUGCAAUUGAUCUGAAAUACCCAUAUUGCCUCUGAAGAAAAGAACACCCAGAGAACAUUUACAGUUGGAUAUUUUUAAUGUUCAUGAGAUGUCUCCUAAAACUGUUCUCCUGAUGCCAUGGAUAUUCUGCUUCUUAAAGGACUGGUGUUGGUCUUGGUCAGUUGUUUUACUGGGCUUCUCUACUACCGUCCCACUACCGUUUUUUUUAACUGGGAAAGAACAGUUUACAAGAAACCAAAUUUCAUAGUAAUUUUGGCAGACGAUGUAGGAUGGGGAGAUUUUGGAGCCAACUGGGACCUACAAAAAGACACACCUAAUUUGGAUAAGAUAGCCCAGGAAGGAAUGAGAUUUGUAGAUUUCCAUUCAGCUGCAUCUACCUGUUCCCCAUCACGUGCCUCUCUGCUUACAGGACGUCUCGGCCUUCGUAACGGCGUGACCCACAAUUUUGCUGUGUCUUCAGCGGCAGGCCUUCCAUUGAACGAGACGAUAUUGGCAGAAAUUCUGAAAGAAGCUGGGUACCUCACCGCUAUGAUAGGGAAAUGGCACUUGGGACAUCAUGGCCCUUUCCAUCCCAGCUUUCGUGGUUUUGAUUUUUAUUUUGGUAUACCAUAUAGCCCUGAUAUGGGCUGUACUGACACUCCAGGUUAUAACCUCCCUCCCUGCCCGGCUUGUCCCAGAUGCUCCACAACAGUCAAUAAACAUCAGAAAAACUGCUAUCCUGAAAUUGCACUUCCUCUUUUUGAAAACCUUACAAUUGUCCAACAGCCUGUAAACUUAACUACCUUAGCGGCGACGUUUACAGAAAAAGUUAUUCAUUUCAUCCAUUAUGCCAGUCAGAAGGGUCUCCCUUUCUUCCUAUAUCUUGCUCUGGCUCAUAUGCAUGUGCCUUUGGUUUUGUCUGAGGCACCUUGGAAUCCAUUUUGCCAAGAUCCCUAUGGAACAUACUUGAAGGAAAUGGAUGCUUUGGUGGGACAGAUAAAGGAUGCGGUUGACAGCACAGCAAAGGAAGAUACUCUCCUCUGGUUUACAGGAGACAAUGGUCCUUGGUCUGAGAAGUGUGACUACGCAGGAAGUGUUGGUCCAUAUACAGGGAUGUGGCAAAGAAGAAAAGGUGGUAGCUCAGCAAAACAGACAACCUGGGAAGGAGGACACCGCGUGCCCACAGUUGCAUAUUGGCCAGGGAAGAUCCCAGCAAACGUGACGAGCGCUUUGAUGUUAAGCACUUUAGACAUAUUUCCUACAUUGGUAUCUCUAGCGAAUGCUACCCUUCCUCCCAACAGACGUUUUGAUGGGAUAGAUAUCUCUGAAGUCCUGUUCGGGUACUCAAGCAAAGGACACCAGACAUUAUUCCAUCCCAACAGUGGUGCAGCUGGAAAAUACGGAGAAAUACAGUCUCUUCGGUUGGACCAAUAUAAAGCCUUUUAUCUUACAGGUGGUGCCAAAGCAUGUGAUGGAAGCAUUGGUCAGGAAGUACAUCAUCAGCCACCUCUCAUUUUUAACUUGCAGCAUGAUAUUCAAGAGCAAGAGCCGAUGGACAUUCACAGUGCCGAGUAUCGUUCUGUCUUGCCAUUGGUAAAUAAGGCCCUUAUGGAUAUUCUUCAGGAUAUUGCAUCAGAUAAUGCCUCUAUAGCAGAUUAUUCUCACGAUGCAGAUGCGAUCCCCUGUUGCAACCCCCAACACUUGGCCUGCAGAUGUGAAUCGACUUAUGCUAACUUAUCUUUGGAAAAAUGUUAAACAACUUCGGAGUUUGCAACCUUCUGUGUCCUCCCAGGAGAGCUAGAAGUCACGUGGACAAAACUGCUACAAAAUUUACAACAUUCUAGGUUACGUAAGAAGGAGGAACAUGAGUGGAGACACAGCUCCUGUUAACCUCAUGAUGAUUUUAUUGACAAAUAUUUCAGCAUUCCUCCAACUCUGAAAGUUGGGGAUUUCCUUUUAUUCAAGUAGAUAAUUGCAAAAAUAUUCUGCAUGGGUAAAUUAAUCAUGCGUAUACUGUACAAGGACAUAAAUCAGUAGGUUCUUUUAUAAGUACAUUUAUACAUGACAUAAAUAAAAGAGCUAGCUGGAGUAUAAAAUUGGAGCUUCAAUUAGCUGCAUUUAUAUUGUGGUUCUUGAGAACAAUGUGCAUAUACAGUACAUUGAUACCAACCAUAGAGCAUUUUAAGAAAAUACACAAAAGAGGGGCAGAUAAACGUCAACUAGGAAAAGAGAAACAUACUGUGUGAAAAGCACUGGAGCGUCUCUGGUUUGCCCCACAUUUGUGGGUUCUUCUACAUUCCCCCUUGUUUUUCCAAACUACCUCCCAUCCGCCGCUGUGUGUUGUGUUGUUUGCCUCUCCUCAUGAUCGCUUCACUUUGUUCGUCCGGCUUCCACGGCAUAAGAUUAUCUACCAAAAUCAAAACAGAACGGCCUUACUUUCCCUGGUCAUGUGCCGUUGAGCAUGGGGUGCUGCAAACAGGCUUGAGAGGCAUGCAGAGGGAAGCAGCGGGGAGAUGAAAGCCACAGCACCGUUUCACUUUUGGCAAAGCUGAUGGGUUUCUGGGCCUCCCUUAGGGCUUUGUCCUCAAAUGACAGAAAAAAAAUCUGGCUCAGAAAUAAAUGUGUGUUGAGAUCUGGAUUAAAAAUAUAUUCCUAGGUUAAAUAAUGAUUCCUGCAUGUGUUUCUCUGCAAACUUAGGACAAGCUGGAUCAACUUGAAGAAUCAGUUAUUUAAAUAUAGAAGAAAGAAGUAAGGCAACAGCUCAGCAUACUGGCUAAAAGUAACAUGUGUAGUGUGGGUUUGUCACUCCAAAGGCCAUCAUGAGAAGUUGUCAAUUAGAGUACAAAACAAACGGAGUUCUUGUUAAGACACAGCAAGCCUUCCCAGCUCUUUGAAAAGUGUCUGAUGCUUCUGUUUCUUAAAAUCUUAGUCAUACUGUUGGGGCUUUACUUCAUCAGCUUUUGAUCCUGGUAGCAGUAACCCGUAGUUUACUUUCUGACAUUGCAAAGUAACAACUCAACCAGCAAGAGAAUAUGGUACUGCUGCUGCUACCUACCUUAUGCAAUAUAGUGUAACGCUGAACAUGCCCCGUAAACUAUUUCACAAGCAAAAACUAGAUGGCUGUCCUAAAGCAUUCGUGUUUAAAGGCAGAUCAAGGCUUCUUUGACAGUUUCCAUAAUUGUUCCCAUUUUCCAUAGAGAGAAGACAACUUUUAUCAUAUCCAGAACAAUUCCAAGUAGAGAAUGAUACAUACCAUCAUCUCUGUAAUGACAUGUUUAUUGUAUUGGUUCACAAUAAAAGACAAAUAAGGCACAUCAGAAAAUGUGGUAUAUUAGUGGAUUAUGGAUCUCUGGUAAUAGUAUGUACUGUUUUUAUUAUUAUUUAUAAUAAUAAUCUGGCUAACUUUGUGCCAAAUCUUAAUAUUAUGUAUUUCAUUUAGCAUCUUAUGUCUAGUAUGGUAAAAUUAAUUCAACUCCCUUUGGCCUCGUGCACAUCUACAUAGUUUUCUUGGCAAUAAUAUAUUUCCAAAUAUAGACAAUACUCCUUCCUCCUCCUAUUUCCCCCCACAUCAACAACCACUCUGUGAGUUGAGUUUGGUUAACAGAGGGCAACUAGCGAACAAGUUGUACUGAAAGUGGGUAGAGACUGCAACCCUUCACCCUAUAAUGUAUAAGGGCCCAUUUUAAGGAAUAUUGGAUUUGAAAGGUUUUUGUCUCUGAUUUCAGGAUGGAAGCUAUUAAUAGGAGAGAAACCAAUGGAAAUAAUUUCUCCAUCGCUUCUGCUCUCCUGAUAGAAACCUAGCAGGACUUAGAAACCUUGUAAGUUUUGAUGUUGAAGUGUUAGAAAAUGAAAGGUAGGAUUAAUUUGGAUAAGAAACACAGAGACGUCUUACAGGCUGUUUAUUGAAGUCCCAUGUUUCUGUUUAUUAAAUUUAGAUGCUGUCCAAAUCGCAUCAACUCUGGGAGGUUUACAAAAUGUUUUAUUUAAAAAAAAGUUCAAACAACAUAACAUAAAACAAAAAAGAGCAAAGAUGGCAAACCCAGAUAGGGACGAAGAAAAAAGAAAAGAAAAGGGAACUUCAAUCACAUUUGCCUUCUUUGCUGCUUUCUUUUCAUUCCCCCCCUUCAUUUUUAUAGCUUUCUUAUUCUAUGAAUAAGAUACUUCAUUACCACAAUUUUAUACUGUAUUAAGAGUGGUUCAUAAGUAGCAUGGCAAAAAACAAAGGAUAAGAGCAUGUCUACCAAUCAAGUUACUAGAUUUGAGAGGCAUGACGAAUGCUGAAGAGCUGUAAUCCACCCUCUUUUAUUAUGGCAGCCAAAGGUAAAAUAAAACACAUGCUUAAAAACAAAUGGAAUAGCUCCUUAAUGACCUGAACAAUAUUGCUGAGCACAAUUAAAGCAAUUGCUAAUUAAAGCUACUGUAUCUGGGCUGCAGAAAUCUAGAUUACAACUAGAUGGGUUUUUUUUAAAGGUACAAGUUUCAUAAUUUUAUAAUAGUAAAAAAUUGCAACACUAGCACCAAGCACAACAAAGAAAGUAAUUAUACAAUAAAGAACAAAAAUCUAAAUACUAUAUGUUAAUUAAAAUUGGAUAAAUGUGAGUGAAUGGCCACUGCAUGGCAGCAAAGAGCUAUUGUGAAUUUCUGUAUCAGCUUGCUGUCAUGUAAUAGCCAUCCUAAAAUUUCACAACCCAGAUAGGAUAGCUCUGGAAGCUCAGUAAAUUUAUAUGCCCAUGUAUUAAUGUAAGAAAUAAAAACUGGAAGAAUACAAAUCAGUUUUAAAUAUAAUACUUUUUUUUUUCUGAAUACUGGUCAUGGCCAUGAUUAC